Molecule: long non-coding RNA, 1841 nt
Filed under: Mus musculus (house mouse)
Lineage: Eukaryota; Metazoa; Chordata; Mammalia; Rodentia; Muridae
Description: long non-coding RNA chr8:82979527-82981368
Source: RNAcentral
UCAGGUCAAAGCCUAUACAGCUGUUUCAUUGUUUAGGGACUGAGGAGGCCUAUCUUCUGCUCAUUGAGGCUUCACUGUGCUUUCUCAUUCCAAUGGCUACUCUUUUAUCUGACCUUAGUGUUGCUGAGCUCAUUGUCCAUGUCAUCUUACCACAGGGAACACUUAGGGGAUUCUCAAUUUCCAGAAAUCAAAGUAACAGAGGAGACGUCCAAAGAGGGAUUUUUCCCAAUGUGGAUCUUGAAUCAGGGAAUUCUUGCUUUUAUGUUUCAAAGACAAUUUGUUGAAUACUAAAAAGAAACAGAUGAAUCAGGUAAUCAGACAUUUUAUAAUCAGACAGUAAAGAGAGAAUUCCAGAUCACUGACAAAUAAACAAAAUGGUCAAGAGGCAGUUCACCAAUUUUCUUGGCUUAUGCAACACUAUAGUUAAGAGUACGUCAUGUCUGGAGAAUUGUUACAGUCAGGAUAGCGAGAGCUUUUAUUUGCAAUGCUAGGUCCUUGCUGUGGUUUGUUAGAGGCGAUCUAAUGGGGGAUAGAUACUGUUUUCCUAGGAGUUAUAAAUAACGCAAAAAGUAAGCCCAUGUCUCCUUUGAUCGUGAAAUGGUUUCUGACUAAAGUUUAUAGCUUUUUUUUUCCAAAAGCCUCAAGAGAGUAACGUGAACUUGGCUAUUAAUUACUAGACCUGUUGUGUUAAUCUUUGACCUUGAAGAUGAAUUUUAUAUCUGCCUGCCUUAGAAUUUCCUUUCAUUGAUCAAUGUGGGUGGGAGUCAACCCUUUAAUGAUCCAGAAAUGGCUUGUGUUAGCUUUUCAUGACUACAAUAUAAUAUCUGAGAUUAUCAGUUUAUACAAAUAAAAGUUUGCCUGGCUCACACUUUUGGAGGUCUCUGCCAAUAGCCAGAUAAGCUCAUUGCUUUAGAGUUUAUAUCAGGGCAGCACUUCAUGUAGGAAUUACAUUGGUGGGGGAGCAGAGGGAAACAGAAAGAAAGCCUAGAGUGCAUACUGCCCUCAUGGGUGUGUCCCUCUGUGACAGAAGUCUUUCAACCAUGCCCCAUCUCUUAAAGAUGCCACAACUCCCUGACAACAUCAUGGACCAUGGAACAAGGCAUUAACACUGCAGCUUAGAGGAUCCUUUCCACAGAGUGACUUGCCUAGUCUGAGUUUCCUUGUCAGUUACUGACUAGAGUGUCCUUAUAGGAUCCAGGACUUAUAAGUUGUCCAUAAAUCUAUGCUUGUUUCCACACCAGUAGCAUUUAAUAUAAUAUGCUUCUUGCCCUGUGUCUUCGGAUCUAAAUGCAGGAUUUACACUAUCUGUUAUGCCUUAAACACUUAUUAUAUAAAAAUGCAAAUAAUGUAAUAAUAGUUUUUAUUUAGUGAUCAUAUAGAUUUGAGUUUCUUCAUCUGAAUUUGUCUAUUGUUAUCUCCAGUCAACAUCCUGGACUGAGCACACUGAUUGGUAAAGUCGUGAGCUACAGUGAACCUUUAGUUUUAAGGUUACUGAAAGUUUAGCAAAUUUUGGGGAUUCACCCAGCUAGAUGUUAUACCAAAUGAUUCUAGCUAAUUUUACUUAAGAUUUUUAGAAAGGGGAAAAAAAUGUGCUGGAGAAUUUUAGUCCCUCAUCGCCUCCUGUCUGAAGAUUUCAUUAAUGUGUCCCUAAGAGAGGUUUACAGAUACUGAGCCUUGCUUAAACCAAAACUCAGAUGUAAAAUGUUUUAUAGGUGAGUGGAAAAUUCCUAAGCCUUUUUUCCAUAACAGUGAGUCUAAUCGAAACUGCAUGGAAUAAAACCAAUCAGUACCCUGUAAUUUACUCCACUUCCACCUCAACCCUAUUGUAUCAUCCUUGUUCC